Long non-coding RNA from Xenia sp. Carnegie-2017, 595 nucleotides. RefSeq lists it as uncharacterized. The record is from RefSeq and is a predicted model, not a curated record. The transcript is spliced from 2 exons. Lineage: Eukaryota; Metazoa; Cnidaria; Anthozoa; Malacalcyonacea; Xeniidae.
AAUAAUGAAAAUAAAAACACAGCGAUCAGUAAUCUAAAGCACAAUUAAACCCAUUAUCAGGACAGAACAGAAAAAACAGCAAGCCAAUAAAGUCGUGACAGAUCUACAUUAAGCCAGGAUGGCGUAGAAGCUAAAGCUCCAAAAAACGUAGUCUAGUUCAGGCUGAACAAAAACAUUUUUGGAUCCAACUUUUUUGUCUCACAAUAACUUUCAUAUGACAUAGAAAUAACGAGACGACAACAUACCUGUACGCUGUCCGCCAUUGGUAUUUCUAAGUCAAAACGAAUAUUUGAUAUGGAGCAUGGAGAGAGACGGCGAACUUUGAACCAGAAGCUCUGAAAAAAAUGAAAGGAAAUCAACUUACUCUAGACAUAAAAUAUUGAAAUUGGAUAGGCGUAUCAAAAAGAUCUGUGAUGACGUCUUCGUCUUGUUGAUCAUCAAUCUGUAAUGGAAAAGUGCUUAGCCUUUUUUUAAGUGCGUGCAGUGUAGUCGUUGACUUUGUUUAAUAAUGAAAAACCAUCUACAUCAAGUUACGUUAAAUAAUCUGGGUGAACAAAACAUGUUUACAAAAACCAAUAAAACAACAAUAUUCAAU